GACGAACGCUGGCGGCGUGCCUAAUACAUGCAAGUAGAACGCACAGUUUAUACCGUAGCUUGCUACACCAUAGACUGUGAGUUGCGAACGGGUGAGUAACGCGUAGGUAACCUGCCUGGUAGCGGGGGAUAACUAUUGGAAACGAUAGCUAAUACCGCAUAAUAUUGAUUAUUGCAUGAUAAUUGAUUGAAAGAUGCUAUUGCAUCACUACCAGAUGGACCUGCGUUGUAUUAGCUAGUAGGUGAGGUAACGGCUCACCUAGGCGACGAUACAUAGCCGACCUGAGAGGGUGAUCGGCCACGCUGGGACUGAGACACGGCCCAGACUCCUACGGGAGGCAGCAGUAGGGAAUCUUCGGCAAUGGACGAAAGUCUGACCGAGCAACGCCGCGUGAGUGAAGAAGGUUUUCGGAUCGUAAAGCUCUGUUGUAAGAGAAGAACGGGUGUGAGAGUGGAAAGUUCACACUGUGACGGUAUCUUACCAGAAAGGGACGGCUAACUACGUG
RNAcentral lists this ribosomal RNA (505 nucleotides) under uncultured bacterium. Its description in RNAcentral is "partial 16S ribosomal RNA". It matches the Rfam family "Bacterial small subunit ribosomal RNA", at positions 28 to 507 of the family's 1533-position model. The record is from RNAcentral.